Molecule: ribosomal RNA, 468 nt
Filed under: uncultured bacterium
Lineage: Bacteria
Description: partial 16S ribosomal RNA
Rfam family: Bacterial small subunit ribosomal RNA
Source: RNAcentral
GACGAACGCUGGCGGCGUGCUUAACACAUGCAAGUCGAACGGAAAGGCCCUGCCUUUGUGGGGUGCUCGAGUGGCGAACGGGUGAGUAACACGUGAGUAACCUGCCCUUGACUUUGGGAUAACUUCAGGAAACUGGGUCUAUUACCGGAUAGGAUCUCCUGCCUCAUGGUGGGGGUGGGAAAGUUUCGGCGGUUGGGGAUGGACUCGCGGCUCAUCAGCUUGUUGGUGGGGUAGUGGCUUACCAAGGCUUUGCCGGGUAGCCGGCCUGAGAGGGUGACCGGCCACAUUGGGACUGAGAUACGGCCCAGACUCCUACGGGAGGCAGCAGUGGGGAAUAGAGCACAGUGGGCGGAAGCCUGAUGCAGCAACGCCGCGUGCGGGAUGACGGCCUUCGGGUUGUAAAGCGCUUUCGCCUGUGACGAAGCGUGAGUGACGGUAAUGGGUAAAGAAGCACCGGCUAACUACGUG